AUCCCGUGCUUAACUUCUCCCUGGCUCCUCCAAUGUGAGGUGCUCCCUCAGUGAGAAAUUACAAAACUGGCUCAUCAUAUGUCGAAAGAGCUUCUUGCGGCUUCUACUGUCAUCUUGGAUUUUCCUUCUCUGCUUUGUAACACUCGAAAUGGAUCCCAUGAGGCAAGUCUCACACUUGGUAUCCUCCAUUUCCUCAGCCUAACUGAAUGACUCAACCUCCUAAACAUUCCUGCAGCUCCCAGCUGGCACUACCAGGGCCACUCAGAUCAUGACCCUAUGGAAAACACUUCACAUACAAGUAAUGAAGGAUCUUCAAGAUGAACAAACCUUGGAAACAUUGGAAUAUGUGGAACUGUCUGUGUUCUAUGUCUACAGUUUUAUGACCUGAAUGAUCAUAUCAGCAUGGUGUCAGUUGUGCUAAGAUCUGAGGGGUCUACUAAGAUCUGGGGGCCAGUUACACUGGUUUCACAAAGACUGGCACCCGAGAGCAGAAGUAUGCGAUCCAUGUGCAUAUAGUGCGAGAAUGAGUUUCUGGGCUUUCUCUCCGCAAACCCCCAUUGCACCCCACUCCCAUGCUUCUAUUCACUCCUGCUUCACUGUCCUAGC
Mus musculus (house mouse) is the source of this 606-nucleotide long non-coding RNA. RefSeq annotates it as predicted gene, 41534. The record is from RefSeq and is a predicted model, not a curated record. The transcript has 5 exons. Lineage: Eukaryota; Metazoa; Chordata; Mammalia; Rodentia; Muridae.